GAUGAACGCUGGCUACAGGCUUAACACAUGCAAGUCGAGGGGAAACGGCAUUGAGUGCUUGCACUGAAUGGACGCCGACCGGCGCACGGGUGAGUAACGCGUAUCCAACCUUCCCGUUACUGCGGGAUAACCUGCCGAAAGGCAGACUAAUACCGCAUGUUCUUCGAUGACGGCAUCAGAUUCGAAGCAAAGAUCCGUCGGUAACGGAGGGGGAUGCGUCUGAUUAGCUAGUUGGCGGGGCGACGGCCCACCAAGGCGACGAUCAGUAGGGGUUCUGAGAGGAAGGUCCCCAACAUUGGAACUGAGACACGGUCCAAACUCCUACGGGAGGCAGCAGUGAGGAAUAUUGGUCAAUGGGCGGAAGCCUGAACCAGCCAAGUAGCGUGCAGGAUGACGGCCCUACGGGUUGUAAACUGCUUUUAUGCGGGGAUAAAGUGAGGGACGCGUCCCUUUUUGCAGGUACCGCAUGAAUAAGGACCGGCUAAUUCCGUG
Molecule: ribosomal RNA, 492 nt
Filed under: uncultured bacterium
Lineage: Bacteria
Description: partial 16S ribosomal RNA
Rfam family: Bacterial small subunit ribosomal RNA
Source: RNAcentral